This 492-nucleotide ribosomal RNA is filed under the name uncultured bacterium. RNAcentral's name for it is "partial 16S ribosomal RNA". It matches the Rfam family "Bacterial small subunit ribosomal RNA", at positions 29 to 507 of the family's 1533-position model. The record is from RNAcentral.
AGUGAACGCUGGCGGUAGGCCUAACACAUGCAAGUCGAACGGCAGCACAGUAAGAGCUUGCUCUUACGGUUGGCGAGUGGCGGACGGGUGAGGAAUACAUCGGAAUCUACUUUUUCGUGGGUGAUAACGUAGGGAAACUUACGCUAAUACCGCAUACGACCUACGAGUGAACGCAGGGGAUCUUCGGACCUUGCGCGAUUGAAUGAGCCGAUGUCGGAUUAGCUAGUUGGCGGGGUAAAGGCCCACCAAGGCGACGAUCCGUAGCUGGUCUGAGAGGAUGAUCCGCCACACUGGAACUGAGACACGGUCCAGACUCCUACGGGAGGCAGCAGUGGGGAAUCUUGCACAAUGGGCGAAAGCCUGAUCCAGCCAUACCGCGUGGGUGAAGAAGGCCUUCGGGUUGUAAAGCCCUUUUGUUGGGAAAGAAAAGCAGCAGGUUAAUCCCCCGCUGUUCUGACGGUACCCAACGAAUAAGCACCGGCUAACUUCGUG